RNAcentral lists this ribosomal RNA (404 nucleotides) under uncultured bacterium. RNAcentral describes it as "bacterial SSU rRNA". It matches the Rfam family "Bacterial small subunit ribosomal RNA", at positions 362 to 758 of the family's 1533-position model. The record is from RNAcentral.
UAUUGCACAAUGGGCGCAAGCCUGAUGCAGCCAUGCCGCGUGUGUGAAGAAGGCCUUCGGGUUGUAAAGCACUUUCAGUCAGGAGGAAAGGUUAGUAGUUAAUACCUGCUAGCUGUGACGUUACUGACAGAAGAAGCACCGGCUAACUCCGUGCCAGCAGCCGCGGUAAUACGGAGGGUGCGAGCGUUAAUCGGAAUUACUGGGCGUAAAGCGUACGCAGGCGGUUUGUUAAGCGAGAUGUGAAAGCCCCGGGCUCAACCUGGGAACUGCAUUUCGAACUGGCAAACUAGAGUGUGAUAGAGGGUGGUAGAAUUUCAGGUGUAGCGGUGAAAUGCGUAGAGAUUUGAAGGAAUACCGAUGGCGAAGGCAGCCACCUGGGUCAACACUGACGCUCAUGUACGAAA